GAUGAACGCUGGCGGCGUGCCUAACACAUGCAAGUCGAGCGGACAGACGCUGCUUUUGCGGGGUUCUCGAGUGGCGAGGGGGUGAGUAACACAGGAGUAUCCCGCCCCUGACUUUCUGAUAACUUCAGGAGACUGCGGAUAAUACAGGAUAGGAGAUCCUGAUGCAGGGGGGGCGUUGGAAAGCUUCGGCGGUGGUGGAUGGACUCGCGGCUUACCAGCUGGUUGGUGGGGUAGUUGCUUACCAAGGCUUUGACGGGUAGCCGGCCUGAGAGGGUGACCGGCGACAAUGGGACUGAGAGACGGCCCAGACUCCUACGGGAGGCAGAAGGGGGGAAUAUUGCACAAUGGGCGGAAGCCUGAUGCAGCAGCGCCGCGUGCGGGAAGACGGCCUUCGAGUGGUGAACCGCUUUCGCCUGUGACGAAGCGUGAGUGACGGUAAUGGGUAAAAAAGCACCGGGUAACUACGUG
Molecule: ribosomal RNA, 468 nt
Filed under: uncultured bacterium
Lineage: Bacteria
Description: partial 16S ribosomal RNA
Rfam family: Bacterial small subunit ribosomal RNA
Source: RNAcentral